This 147-nucleotide ribosomal RNA is filed under the name Septoria sp. 100712. RNAcentral describes it as "5.8S ribosomal RNA". It matches the Rfam family "5.8S ribosomal RNA", at positions 19 to 154 of the family's 154-position model. Rfam says of the family: 5.8S ribosomal RNA (5.8S rRNA) is a component of the large subunit of the eukaryotic ribosome. It is transcribed by RNA polymerase I as part of the 45S precursor that also contains 18S and 28S rRNA. The record is from RNAcentral. Lineage: Eukaryota; Fungi; Ascomycota; Dothideomycetes; Mycosphaerellales; Mycosphaerellaceae.
CUCUUGGUUCUGGCAUCGAUGAAGAACGCAGCGAAAUGCGAUAAGUAAUGUGAAUUGCAGAAUUCAGUGAAUCAUCGAAUCUUUGAACGCACAUUGCGCCCUUUGGUAUUCCGAAGGGCAUGCCUGUUCGAGCGUCAUUUCACCACU